Long non-coding RNA from Drosophila miranda, 1788 nucleotides. RefSeq lists it as uncharacterized. The transcript is spliced from 3 exons. The record is from RefSeq and is a predicted model, not a curated record. NCBI's taxonomy places the organism in Eukaryota, Metazoa, Arthropoda, Insecta, Diptera, Drosophilidae.
CAGCCCAGAUGCGAAUGGAAUGGGGGGAGGGUAUAGCAGACUCGUAAAUAUGCAUUUAUGUAUCUGCAAGUGCACAUCUGCUCCCGCGACAUCCUUUUGGGGCAGGGCAGGCAAAAAAAAAACAAGAAAAGAAAAGGCCCGUCUCCAUCUCUCGAAUAAACGCCAUUCAUGGAUAUUUCACAUCGUACCUAUGGUACAUCUCUUUGAAGAGGAUAGGCUACGGCAAUGCUAUAGUUGUUAUUUUACUACGAAGUCUGCCAAAAUCGCAUCACACAAACACACCCUCUAUAUUGGUGCGCAAGCUUUACCUACUCGGAACCCAGGACAGAUGCAGGACAACGGCUAGCGUUUUGAAUAGAUGUUGGCAUGGCGCACUUCCUUCCGUAAUGGCAACAACAGCAGCAACAGCAAAGCUCCCGAGUCGGCCUUGAUGGAUGGGAUGGCGAUGGCAAUGGAAUGGCCGUGCUCCAGGACAGACAGAGACGGAAGCAAAAAAAGGGGAUGGGAUGGAGAUCCCGCGCAAAUAAAAUGUAAUUGAGGGGAGAACCAAGCCCAAACCAACGCCAAGACCAAGACGAUGCUGGCACUGACAAAACUUUGGAAGCUUGUUUAAUUGUCUGAAAAGUGGCGCAGUGGCCGUGGAGAUGUGGGGGUGAGAGUGAGAGUGGGUGCAAAUGGGGAGAUGCGAUGGAAUCGUAAUGUGAAGAAAAAACGAACCAAUAACUGGAGGAAAAAAAACCAAGAAGGCAACUAAAAGUCUUGCAAAGAACUCGACGAAGGCAAGGCUGUUAUGGCCGGCUCUAUGCGAUUGGCCAUUUUACUUGUUGGUCGACGACCAUUCAUCCACCUUCUCAUGGUACUGUAUGGACGUAUUUAUAUACUCACUUGGUGACAUAUAUUUUGUUUAUCAUAUAACCAGAACACUAGAAAGGGGUAUCGGUUUUGGUCCCGGUCUCGAUCCCGGUGUCGGUCUCAACCCAAACGCAAACCGCAAACUCAAUUUUUGUAAACAUUUUUUAAAUAAGCAAACCAACAUAUACUAUGCCAUUAAAUUUUUACAUUUUAUACCUGCAAACGAUACGAAUCAAACUGAAAAAGAAACAAAAACAACAACAAAAAAUAGGCCUACAAGCCACUUACUACGAGUAUACUGGUACUACUUAUAAUUAUAUAGUGCAACAUACCCCUUUCACGCACUUUCCAUUAUACACCACACACACAUACGGAUAUGCCCUUGAUAAUGAUGAUUGCACGUUUUACCGCGGAAGCACUGUAGCGUAAAAGCGUUACCGCUCAGCUCAGUGACGUCAAAGUUGCUUCCCCUUCCGAUUGACUCUUUUCAGGUAACGGCAAAUGUACGUACUCGUGUCGAACGUUUUCUUUCCAGGAAUCAAACCUUGUCAUAAGGAUGUCCAUGGUGGUCCAUCCACGAGCUUUUUCGUGUACUUGAGUUAAGUUAAGUUAAAUAUUUAAUUGCAUAUCUUAUAUUCUUUGUCCCCGGUAAUUCGUAAAAAAAAUGCAAAAAAUUGAAUGAAAAUAACCAAAUAAAAAGUAAUCAAAACUUUUCGGGCUGCGACUCGAAAUAUAAAGUUUUCACGCAUACUCGAAGAAAGGCAAUCAAAAAUGAGAAGCGAAAAAGAAUUUUGUUUGUCUCUAACCAACUUUUUAACAUCACAACGCAGCAGAUACAUAUAGUUAUAUAGCUACAUAUAGUCAUCGUCAAAGAAUUUCUUACAUGAAACAUACAAUUUCUACUUAUAUACAUAGGUUCAAGAAUUAUAGAAUAAA